UCCGUAGGUGAACCUGCGGAAGGAUCAUUAACACUAAUCCAACUCAACUCAACGAAGCCUUCAGUUGCAGUAGUGCGAGCUAGCGAAAGCAAAGCAGUGCCGCUGCAGCAACUAAACAACUAAUCAAACAAAGGAGCCUAACUAAGCUCAACCACAUCAACCAAAUUCUCAACGAUGGAUAUCUUGGUUCCCAUAACGAUGAAGAACGCAGCGAAGUGCGAUAAGCAAUGCGAAUUGCAGAACCGUGAGUCAUCAGAUUUUUGAACGCAUCUGGCGCCGGUUGGGUCUCCAGCCGGCAUGCUUGUUUCAGUGUCUUGUUUUCUCCUCACCCAAAUCUUAAUGCGAGAGAUACCCUUCUCUUGUCAAGCAAGAAAGCACUCUGCGCUCUGCGAGCGACUUCGACUAGUUCGAGGGUCGCACUCAAUGCAGCAGUCACAUUGCUCACAAUGUGAACUCAUUGAGAGCAGAGGCAGUGCAGCAUCCGCUGCCAGUGCUUAGACACGCCAACUUUCUUUGCAUCUGAAAUCAAGCAGGAUCACCCGCUGAACUUAAGCAUAUCAAUAAGCGGAGGA
Molecule: ribosomal RNA, 572 nt
Filed under: uncultured fungus
Lineage: Eukaryota; Fungi
Description: eukaryotic LSU rRNA
Rfam family: 5.8S ribosomal RNA (bases 164-315)
Source: RNAcentral